GAUCGCCUCGCUGAGCCUGGCGAUCCGCCUCCGGUGCCUUCUUUUCUUUUUCUCUCAUCAAAUUCUGAAUACUCAUAUCAAGCCCUAAAGUUGAAGCGAGCCCUAAUUCUUUGUCUCCAAAGGAAAUCAUGUCACUUGCAAUGGUCCGCCUUGCUAGGCCCUGUCUCGGCGUCCCUCCGACGUCGGCGCAACGAAGGUGUGGGGUGGCACACGCACAUAUUUUGUCUUAAAUCACCUUUGCAAUAUCGUAUCCCAAAUCUGCAAAGGUGACACACGAAUACCGCCGCUGCCGCCUUCGACCGUGCCGCGAUUCGCCGCGCCGGCCACCGUCGCCAUCUGCCACCUUCAUUCCCUCUCCCACCCUUCACGCGGAUCUGCCCUCCCACCACUGCAAUCUGCUUAGCCGGACCACCCAGCCUCCACCUGCGACCUCCCUUCCCCACCGCGAUUUGCCGCGCUGGUUUCCCCCGCGAUCUGCCGUGAUUCUUCAUACACAGCGAUGAAUCACAAUUAUGUUGUUGAUCCGGAAUCACUUCCUAAAAGAGUACGAGGUUACUCAUGUCAAUCUGAAUGGUGGAAGCUGUGCUGGGCUUGCGUUUCCUCAGCAGAAGCUCAUGUCACUACAGUAUCAUCCUGAAGCUUCCCCCGGACCCCAUGAUUCUGAUCCUGGAUGUCGAUGUCGAGAAGCAGUGCCCCUACCUCUCAAACCUCGGCGGGUAUCCGACGAGUAGUGGGUGACGGAUAUCCGACGGAUAGCGAGUGGUGGAUACCCGAUGGGUGAUGGGUAUCCGCGGGUCGCGAGUACGGGUGGCAAAUAAUUUUUUCGAAUAUACGUUUUCCUAAGUCAUGUGACUCAUGUUAGGGAUGAAAGUCCUCUUUAAUUUAUUUUUCAUUUUAGUUUGAUAUGUAAUG
Long non-coding RNA from Salvia miltiorrhiza (redroot sage), 912 nucleotides. RefSeq lists it as uncharacterized. The transcript has 3 exons. Lineage: Eukaryota; Viridiplantae; Streptophyta; Magnoliopsida; Lamiales; Lamiaceae. The record is from RefSeq and is a predicted model, not a curated record.